GACGAACGCUGGCGGCGCGCCUAACACAUGCAAGUCGAACGGGGAUACACCUUCGGGUGUAUUCUAGUGGCGGACGGGUGAGUAACACGUGAGUAACCUGCCCUUGACUCUGGGAUAAGCGUUGGAAACGACGUCUAAUACCGGAUACGACCUUCGGAGGCAUCUCCUGGGGGUGGAAAGAAUUUCGGUCAAGGAUGGACUCGCGGCCUAUCAGCUAGUUGGUGAGGUAAUGGCUCACCAAGGCGACGACGGGUAGCCGGCCUGAGAGGGUGACCGGCCACACUGGGACUGAGACACGGCCCAGACUCCUACGGGAGGCAGCAGUGGGGAAUAUUGCACAAUGGGCGCAAGCCUGAUGCAGCAACGCCGCGUGAGGGACGACGGCCUUCGGGUUGUAAACCUCUUUUAGUAGGGUAAGAAGCGAAAGUGACGGUACCUGCAGAAAAAGCACCGGCUAACUACGUAG
Molecule: ribosomal RNA, 466 nt
Filed under: uncultured bacterium
Lineage: Bacteria
Description: bacterial SSU rRNA
Rfam family: Bacterial small subunit ribosomal RNA
Source: RNAcentral